AACGAACGCUGGCGGCAGGCCUAACACAUGCAAGUCGAACGCCCCGCAAGGGGAGUGGCAGACGGGUGAGUAACGCGUGGGAACGUGCCUUUCGGUUCAGAAUAGGCCGGGGAAACCCGGGUUAAUACCGGAUACGUCCUUCGGGAGAAAGAUUUAUCGCCGAGAGAUCGGCCCGCGUCUGAUUAGCUAGUUGGCGGGGUAAUGGCCCACCAAGGCGACGAUCAGUAGCUGGUCUGAGAGGAUGAUCAGCCACACUGGGACUGAGACACGGCCCAGACUCCUACGGGAGGCAGCAGUGGGGAAUAUUGGACAAUGGGCGCAAGCCUGAUCCAGCCAUGCCGCGUGAGUGAUGAAGGCCCUAGGGUUGUAAAGCUCUUUCGGCGGGGACGAUAAUGACGGUACCCGCAGAAGAAGCCCCGGCUAACUUCGUGCCAGCCGCCGCCGUAA
Molecule: ribosomal RNA, 447 nt
Filed under: uncultured bacterium
Lineage: Bacteria
Description: partial 16S ribosomal RNA
Rfam family: Bacterial small subunit ribosomal RNA
Source: RNAcentral